Molecule: long non-coding RNA, 1253 nt
Organism: Papaver somniferum (opium poppy)
Lineage: Eukaryota; Viridiplantae; Streptophyta; Magnoliopsida; Ranunculales; Papaveraceae
Exons: 3
Source: RefSeq, a predicted model, not a curated record
AUGUGUGUCAGUCCUAUUUCAUUGUUAGAAUAUAACUAGCGUAACACGGUCACUUAGGCCAUCUCUCGAACAAUAGAUAGGCAUUUCACAGAUGGUAAUGGAGUGAACUUUGUUGGAAUUCAUCUACUUCUUUGGUAAAUCUCCUUCCCUGCAAAAUCAAAUUUAUACACAACCCAUUCAUAUCUAACAAACCAUGACUCUUAAGCAUUCAUUCAUUUCAUUCUCAAUCAACAACUAAUCACCAAAUGUCUACCCCUUAGUCCAGUCUAUAAAUUGAACUUGAGUCUUCAUCCCAAAGGCGUGUUUGAUAAAUAGAAUAGCAGCGAAUUCAUAAUUCAACUUUGGGGUUACUGUAUACAAGAAGAAAUCAAACUAAUCUCUGCUCCACUGGUUCUAGGUGGUUAUUGGGUUUCCUCUUUCUUCUGUUGUAUACUUAAAAUGGUUGGGGCUAAAUGAAAUCUUCUUAAACGAUCGAGCAAAAACAGAAGCAGAUCGAAGAAAUGUACCUGAACUUGAUCCCAAGUAAUUGAGCGUUUAUGCAAUUGAGUCAUGAUGAAAUCGAAGACUGUAGCUGCCACGGUGGGGAGAUGAUGAAGAUCUGGAUGUGAAGUAGUUCAUUACCUAGAACACCGAUAGGAUGGAAUUGUUCUGUAAAAUCAUAUGUGAAGACUGUAGCUGCCACGAUCGGUCGGCCCUUCCCAUAACCUAAAUUAAAGGUCAGGGUGAUUGUUAUUUUGCGGUUGAUUGUCAAAUUCGUUCUGCUGCCCACAGUCAAACGUGGGAGAUGAUGAAGAUCUGGGUUAGAUAGGAAACGAAGAAGACGACUAAACAUCACCGUUGUCGUUGUUUUAGGGUGGGGGUAUUUUUGGUAGUUUAUUGUAAAUAUUUUUCUUUUUGCCACGCGUGCACAGGUGCUGACUCAACCAACCUAGCAAUGGAUGGAAAAGCUAACUACGGGAGGAUAUACUAAUUUCAAUCUAUUUGGGAAGGGAACACUAAUUAGCGAUCUUGGGAGGGGAGGAAACACAAAAUAGCCCUUUUAAAAUUUGUUGCUCCUAUGUAAUAAAUAUAUGGAAGAUUUGAAAUAACUUAGAUCGAAUCGUGCAUAAGAUGGAUAGCGUUAAUGACGUUUUGGGACAUUUGUUUGGAACCCCCAUGGAUAUAUUGCCUAUUAUAUGGGUAUGGAUGUUCGAUUUUCUUGAUUUUUGCAGCGGUAUACAUAGUUGUACACAACAAGUGUAAAUUAAAAUUUU